CGGGCGAGAGCAGGGCUUCUGGCUGCAGGGCGGGUGGUACCUGCCUCAGAACGGCGGGUUUGACGGACGCUGGGUGCAACUCUUUGACGACCGGCC
RNAcentral lists this transfer RNA (96 nucleotides) under Corallococcus coralloides. RNAcentral describes it as "tRNA-Thr". Lineage: Bacteria; Pseudomonadati; Myxococcota; Myxococcia; Myxococcales; Myxococcaceae. The record is from RNAcentral.